UCUGGUGGUGCGUAUAGCAUCGUUAGUGAGCAUAUGGAGAUGUGUCUCCGACGGAUCUAUCUUUGGUGGAUCUGCUCGAAUUUGUUCGUCAUUCGUCUACGUUUGCGUGUCUUUAGAUUGGAUCCUUCCGGUCUAUACUACUCUUUAUCGGCGACGGUAGUUAUGGUGCGCUGGUCCUGCGGGCCUUAGCACAACGACUUUCCGACUGUCUAGUACAAUAAAUUUUGCUAGAUUCCGAUGAGGGAGGGACGAUGACGGCAUCGCGCUUUUCUUGUAGUCGUCGCUAGAUAGUUUAUGAAUCUGGAUGUAAUUUUUAUUAUUUCUGAUGUUCGUUGUACUGCCGCGAUUGAUUUUGUUUUUUGAAACGAAGCUACACGCACGGAGGACGGAGCGUCUUUGGCUUUUUGGGUGCAUCAGCUUGGUUCCUAGCAUAGGUUCUUAACUGAUGCCAUGUACUUCCUUCCGGCCCCCUCCCCUCUGUUUUCUACUUCCUUUAGGCAACUUUAUGGCCUCUGCACCACAGUGCGUAACAUAAGUUUCUUAUAAGUGAACUUUGAUCACCGGGCUGUGGCCUGUUUUGAAAUGCAUAAGUAGAGUGAGAUAUACUUUUUAUUUCAAAAGAAAAAAAACAUAAUUAAACAUGAAUAAAUCGAAAGUUUUCUCAAAAAAAAUCAGAUAUCCUUGAAUCUCCCAACAUCACUCAAGCAACAUUAAAAUCUUCUCGCCUCAUGCACUCAAAUCUUCUCGUAUAGAUCCUGCAAAAAAAGUCUUCUUGUAUAGCCGUAUCCCGGUUUUUUUCUUUUUUAAACACGGGAAGGGGACUAGAAAGUCCCCGAAGCUGCUUCACAUAACAAAAGUGACAGUACACCAUAAAGAGGACCCUGGGAGAACUGCAGUUAGAGACACGUCCUCUCUAUUUGCAAACAGGACCCUAAGGUAAAAAUAAAACGGUUUUGCUAUUUUUCAUCCGGCUGAAUUCAAUUGGGCUUUCAUCCGGUUUUUUAGCCAUGCGAUCUAUGUGCCGUGAUUCGUGUUUUUUUUUGUCCCGCUGUUGCCAUUUUUUCUUACGGUUUUGCUAUUUUUCAUCCGGCUGAAUUCAAUUGGCUUUCAUCCGUUUUUUUAGCCGUGCGAUCUAUGUGCCGUGAUUCGUGUUUUUUUUCCCCACUGUUGCCAUUUUUUCUUAUCGGGCCCUUUCCUGGAGACCCGAUACGCUUCCUUUGCUAUCGCCCGCAAUCGCCCGCAUAGUUGGGUUGGCCCGUUCCCCUCCUCCUCGUUUCCCCUUCUCAUUUCACAGACGCAACUAGAACAGAGCGAGGGAGAGACAGUCAUGGCGAUUUGGAGCUCUCCUCGACGCCCGAUUCAGUACAGUGGUGGCCCGGCGUCUGGCUGCCCCGCCCCCUCCGUCUGCCGCGCUUAUUUCCCACCGGGUCUGUUCUUUCUUCCAGAUUUGUUCCGGCAAGAGAGAGACGACAGGAGGUGAUGAAUGCACAGGAGGGGUGGUGUUUACCUGUGUUUUUUUUUUUUGCUUCUCCAGCCAUGUUUGUGUUCUAGAUCAUGGAUGAAUCGCUCUCUCUGGUGGCGCUUCUCCAGGGAUAAAUUUGGUACUUUCUCAGUGGAGUUGUAAUGUAAUUCUUUUGUGUGUUUUUAGUGGAAUUACAGUGUAUUUUUAGUGGAAUUACCGUGCAUUUUCAGUGGUUUUUACAUUGUAAUUGUUAGUGGAAUUACAGUGGAAUUUACACUGUAAAUCUUAGUGGGUUUACAGUGUAUUUUUAGUUGAUUUUUGCUCUGUAUUUGCAAGUGGCAUUUUUAGUGGAAUUACAGUGUAUUUUUAGUGGAAUUACUGUGCAUUUGCAGUGGUUUUUACACUGUAAUUAUUAGUGGAAUUUACACUGUAAAUCUUAGUGGGUUUACUUUGUAUUUUUAGUGGAUUUUUGCUCUGUAUGUGCAAGUGGCAUUUUUAGUGGAAUCGCAAUGGAUUUUUAGUGGA
Long non-coding RNA from Aegilops tauschii subsp. strangulata, 1987 nucleotides. RefSeq lists it as uncharacterized. Lineage: Eukaryota; Viridiplantae; Streptophyta; Magnoliopsida; Poales; Poaceae. The record is from RefSeq and is a predicted model, not a curated record.